UGAGUGUGUUCCCAUGUAGGAGGU
RNAcentral lists this non-coding RNA (24 nucleotides) under Cricetulus griseus (Chinese hamster). Lineage: Eukaryota; Metazoa; Chordata; Mammalia; Rodentia; Cricetidae. The record is from RNAcentral.